AUUUUGAAGCAAGUAACUUCAUUUUUGGACCCACUGCCCUCAAGUCAAUGAUGUAGCAGAAUUGUGGCAAGGAAGCUGGCUUCAUCUAAAAUUCCUGCCAUGUGUUAGCCUACUGUUUGAGUGCUUCACAAUCACUCCUACCCUAGCAGGAAAAGCACUCUGACAAAGAAUUCCUGUAACCGAUUCCCCCUUGCGUCCUUAGGCCUCACAAUCAUCUACCAGGGGAGAUGGCAUGCCACCAGAAUGUCACAGAGAGGCACUAUAACCAUUGCUUUGUUCUGGGGCUUUUUGAAAGAGCAGAGAUACGAGGACCUCAGGGAAAAAGAUCAGUCAAUCAUACAAAGAAGCCAAACGUUCACUAGCCGUCUCAUGUAAUUCAACUUUUUGGCUUUAAUAAGAAAUCAUCUCUCUAUUAAACUGAAUUACCUUCAAAAAGUGUGCUUUCAGAAAUCAGCUCCAGGCUACAAAAAGGUCGUUCAGUUUGUACCAGUCAUUUUCUCUACAAGACCGUCUGAUCACUAUCUGUGUCCUCAGAAGUGCUGAGUCGAGAAGAGGUGCUGGGGAGCAUAAUCUGUUAGACGGAAUAGAAACCCCAGAGCUUUUAUCAUGAUACAGCUGAGAAGUGAACUGACAUGUGGGCAACCCAUGGAUGCAGAGGGAAGGCUUAGGCAAACCCCAUCUUCACAAUAGGAAAAACCACCUUUAUUUCCCUUGGAGAGUUUCCUGAUUUGAGCUCAGGACUCAUCUAGACAAAGUGAGUAAAGCAGGAAAAACUAAUAAGCACAGCAGCCAACUGGGAGGAGACGUGCUAGAGAGAGAAUUCCUUUCCCGGCACUGCUUGCUGCUUUCUGCUCUGCUUCUAACAGGCUCCCAAGAAGAUAAUGCUUCACUGGAAUGUAAUCUACCUUGUUCCACUUUCGAGAAAUUGGGGGUGAUGAUUGGGGAGGUGGGAGCACUGAUUAGGUCAGGAAGCGUCUCAGCCCGUCUUGUCAGCAGUUCUUCACUGAAAUGUCUCCAUCCACAGGACUAGUGUAAGUAAAACAGACCGAGAACAUCAUGGUUAAAACAAUAUGGUAGGAAAAACAAGGGACCAGUCAUCAAUAGGCUCAAUUCUCAGAAGAAUGUAAAACAGAGACUAAGAGUGGAGGGAAGAAGGAUUCCAAAAGAAUGUGGUCUAGGAAUAGAUCACAGAGGGGCCAUGAACCUCGACCGGAAGAUCUUCAGAGUCUGGUCACAUGAGUGAGGAGGGUAGAAGGAAUAGAAGGGACAAUGGAAGAGGAUGUGGCUUAUUAGGGAAUGUGGGAGGCCCACUGAAUCCUGAAGAGCAUCUGACCAUGACUCACCACACUCAAUGCCCAGAGUUUUUAACUUGAGGGUGGACCAUCUGUGCCUGCUGCAACCAUUCUCCUAGGCUUCCCAUCGCAGAGAAGGAUCUGCAGAGCCAUUUUCAUCUUUAAGAGCCAAUUGAGAGGCUUGAGUGAGGCCUCUGGUCUUGCCUAGGAAAAAACAGCUUAGAGAUUUGCCAGCUGAAGUGUGUGUUAUUAGUGACUGAGUGGCAAAUGUCUGGGGCAGUUUGAGUGGAUAGCCCCAGUAUCUUUAUCUAAAAUGAACUGAUGGGGGACAGAUUACAAUCCUCAAAAAAGAGAACACACCCCUGGCACUGGCUGUACCAGGCUGGAAGUUGGAGGCUCAGUUCUAGCACCCGCUUCCCUUUUAACAUAAGACUUGGUGGUGUACAUCCAAAGGAAACGCUCUGCUGUGUUGCCAUGCCGACCACCGAUCCCAGCUUUCCCACCAGGCAGGGGACCGAGGUCAGUGUUGCACAGGUGACAGGGGAAAGAGGGAACACACAUUCGCUAGAAGGGUGAACAGAAAUCAUUUAUCUAAACAGAAUAAUAGAAAUGAACAAAAACCUUUUAAAACAAUCAC
Molecule: long non-coding RNA, 1929 nt
Filed under: Phocoena sinus (vaquita)
Lineage: Eukaryota; Metazoa; Chordata; Mammalia; Artiodactyla; Phocoenidae
Description: lncRNA (ENSPSNG00000018734.1)
Source: RNAcentral